This is a non-coding RNA of Heterocephalus glaber (naked mole-rat), 1819 nucleotides long. NCBI's taxonomy places the organism in Eukaryota, Metazoa, Chordata, Mammalia, Rodentia, Bathyergidae. The record is from RefSeq and is a predicted model, not a curated record.
GCUUUGUCAAUGAUAUGGCACCAGUAGAGGCACACUCAGGCUGCAGGAAGAUGAUGAUUUCUGAGUGCAGACCUGUUGAAGCUCAGCACUCGGACUCCCACCGCUUUCCGCCUUCUGCUUUCUGCGAGACCAGAAUUGCAAAAGAGCAUCCAGCUCCCACGCCUCUGCACCAAACCCGAUGAAAGUACGGCUCACGAAACACUGAAGGAAUUCCUGAUGAUGGGCAAAGUUUUCACUGAAGAUAUUUAUAUUUGUAACAAUCUCUUCCUGUGUAACACUUAAUUUUCCCCUACUUUUUUUGUUCUAAAAGAUUUAUGAUCAUGAGCAUUAACUCAUACCCCACUGCAUAAAGACACAUUCUGAAUUUUUAUCUGUUGUUGAAAUGUGGGAUAUUUGCUAAACAUAAACACAUUUUUUUCCCUCUGUACAUUUUUUGAUGUUGAGAGGAAAAGAUCUGACCAUCAUUUUAAUUAUCUAUUCAUAUAUUUAAAAAUUUUUGUAACUGAAGUUUUUCUUGUAGAAAGGAAAAUGUUAUCUUUUUGCUUUGUAAUUAAAAAAUAAAGGGGCAAAUGUGUACGAGGAUAAUGAUUUUCUAUCACUAUUAGGCUUGCAAAAAUUCAAACUUGUGACCUUAAGCUGAUAAACUUGAGUAUUCUUCAUCCAAUAGCAAUCUUGUGAGUUUAUUUAUUCAUCAUUUAAUUGUCUUAAACUAGACUAGUGACAGUCUAUAUUACUAAUUUGGAAAAAACAUUUGCUUUGUGAAAACAGGAAAAUAAUUAGCACCACAAUCUAAUUCUUUAAGUUAGGCAUACAUAAUAAAAUGUUUUGGUUAAGAUAUAGUUUCUUGAAUGAGAUUGACCUUCAAACAAAUAUUGGAUUCCCAAAUAUCACCAUGAAGAUCUUGAAAAAAUUAUUUCAUUUUUCUGGGCCUUGCUUCCUUAUCAGUAAAUGGAAUCAAUAUGGAUAUGAUUACACAGUGCUUUGAAAAGUAAACAAACAUUGUUUGUAAACUGUACUCUGUAAACCAAGAGACUUAGUUUUUACUGAAAGUUACAGUUAACAGCUUUCAAGCAAUAAUAAUAAUAAUAUUAUAAUAAUAGGAAUGAUGUAGGUACCUCAAUAAGAGGUAUAUAAAAUAUUAAAUAUUCAUGUUAUGAACUUCUAUAUGACAUAAAAUGAAACACUUUUCAUCAAGUGUAGAAAAAUAUAAUGUUAAUUAGGUAAAUGAGAAUAGACAGUAAUAUACAUACAAAAAUAUAUAUUUUUGAAUAUGUUUAAUGUGUCAGGAAUUUAAAAAACUCUUGCUAAACUUGUAUUUUUGGGGAAUGUUAAUGGAGCAUUGAAAGUAGAAAUAUAUAUGUAUAUAUACAUCAGUGUAUAUAUAUAUGCAGCAUUUAUAUAUCACAUAUGUACAGAAUGAACUGAUAUAUACCUACAUAUGCAUACACUAAGUAUGUGUGUAUGUAUACAUGUAUAUACACACAAACACACAAUAAGAAAUAGUUGUAAGGACAAAAUAAAAGACUUGGAGGUUAAAUUGUAAAAAUUGUAGCCCAGAAAAAAUCACAACCCUUUGUUCUUCUGUUUCUUCUCACCUUUCUCUUCGAAGUCAUCCUAUUCUAACUUCUAUUGAUUCUCUGACACUUUCCAAGGCUCUAACUAACAAGAAAACUGUUUUAAAAAUCAAAUUUAAGGCUUGGGGAGUAGAAGAGCACUUUUCUAACAGGUGGGAGACCCUAAGUUUAUUACCCAGUACCACAAAAGAGAGAAAUAAAAAAUUUAAAGUAAAUGGUAAUCCUAUGUAGACAGUAAUAGAAUU